Molecule: ribosomal RNA, 433 nt
Filed under: uncultured bacterium
Lineage: Bacteria
Description: partial 16S ribosomal RNA
Rfam family: Bacterial small subunit ribosomal RNA
Source: RNAcentral
AACGAACGCUGGCGGCAUGCCUAACACAUGCAAGUCGAACGAGAACUUCGGGUCUAGUGGCGCACGGGUGCGUAACGCGUGGGAACCUGCCCUUGGGUUCGGAAUAACUCCCCGGAAGGGGUGCUAAUACCGGAUAAUGUCUUCGGACCAAAGAUUUAUCGCCCUUGGAUGGGCCGGAGUUGGAUUAGCUAGUUGGUAGGGUAAAAGCCUACCAAGGCGACGAUCCAUAGCUGGUCUGAGAGGAUGAUCAGCCACACUGGGACUGAGACACGGCCCAGACUCCUACGGGAGGCAGCAGUGGGGAAUAUUGGACAAUGGGCGAAAGCCUGAUCCAGCAAUGCCGCGUGAGUGAUGAAGGCCUUAGGGUUGUAAAGCUCUUUUACCCGGGAUGAUAAUGACAGUACCGGGAGAAUAAGCUCCGGCUAACUCCGUG